RNAcentral lists this long non-coding RNA (763 nucleotides) under Chinchilla lanigera (long-tailed chinchilla). RNAcentral's name for it is "lncRNA (ENSCLAG00000027358.1)". The record is from RNAcentral. Lineage: Eukaryota; Metazoa; Chordata; Mammalia; Rodentia; Chinchillidae.
UCUAACUGGACCUAUUUGUGGGCUAUGGGGAACACGUCAGGACUGAAAAGAGGCUCCACUUUCUCCUUCCUGAAUGGAAUGGACAUGUUCAACCUAUGGUGGGCAGCAGCAGGAGUGUGCUCCCUGGUUGCUGAGGGUGUGGCGCCAUGGCGGGAACAUCAUACUGUCUCAAGGGCAACCCCUGUCCAUGUAAAUGAGGGACGCCUGUCUGCAGAACAUCACCCGAGGGUGCUGACUGGAGCUGAGAUCUUUAAGAGCAGAAGGAUCAGGACCGACGCUGAGCCUGCAGUCUCCAGGUGUGAGGGGAGAGCAUGGUGUUCCAAGCAAAUAAAGAGAUCCCAGCAGACACCUGGAAGAGAUUCAGACAAACCAUCGUGUUAAACUCUGUGCCACUGCAUCACCUGCCUCAGACCCAGCAGUGCAGGGAGCUCCACACCAUCUCUGUCUGCAUGCAUGCCAGUGGUGCCACCUCAUGGGGACAAGCAAGUACCUGAGCUAGUUGGGCAGGCUGGCACAAGGCCAGCCUUUGGGUGACAGAGAGAAGGAAGUAUGCCAUAGAGAAGAACUCUGAUGUGUUCUCUUGUAAGGGUCUCUGGAGCCCUGCACUGACCUCACAGGACUCUCCUUCUGCUUUGGUGGUAAUUGAUCAUCAAACAGGUCUAAAUUAGUGUUGACAGAAAAUCAGGGGCUCAUUCUGCAUCAACUUUCAUAGUAUGUAGAUUCACCUUUCUACCUUAAAUAAGAUAACGUAGUGACUUUCCCA